This 301-nucleotide ribosomal RNA is filed under the name uncultured bacterium. RNAcentral describes it as "partial 16S ribosomal RNA". It matches the Rfam family "Bacterial small subunit ribosomal RNA", at positions 509 to 807 of the family's 1533-position model. The record is from RNAcentral.
CAGUCGCCACGGUAAUACAGAGGGUGCGAGCGUUAAUCGGAUUUACUGGGCGUAAAGCGUGCGUAGGCGGCUUUUUAAGUCGGAUGUGAAAUCCCUGAGCUUAACUUAGGAAUUGCAUUCGAUACUGGGAAGCUAGAGUAUGGGAGAGGAUGGUAGAAUUCCAGGUGUAGCGGUGAAAUGCGUAGAGAUCUGGAGGAAUACCGAUGGCGAAGGCAGCCAUCUGGCCUAAUACUGACGCUGAGGUACGAAAGCAUGGGGAGCAAACAGGAUUAGAGACCCCAGUAGUCCCUGUCUCUUAUAC